GGCCGUUCCCAUGACACAGAGUGAGGAAUGUGCGACACGCAGCACUGUAGCUGUGGAAGCAACUGCCAAGGACACCUGCCAGGUGAUGGGGCAAGAGGAAGAUUACGUUUCAUGGCCUGAGGUGUGAAUCUUGUGAUUGUCGUAUUUCAUCCUCCAUGAGGCUGGGGACACUCGGAACACAGAGAGCCUUCGUGGAGCAGCUUCCAGCUCCCCAGCUCAUUGUCUAGGUGUAACGUCUGGCUGUGGAGCGGAGAGGAAAGAAGGCCCGACUAGGGAAUGCAGCAGAGUGUGCCGGGUAAACACUGGAGGCUGCAGAAUGUUCUGGAUCUCCACUUUGCUAAAAUAGGAGCCAGUCAGGAAAGUGGCAGCUGAAUGGUGCAAAAGUGGAUUUAUUUACAUUAAAUAAUACCCUGCCCACUCCCCGGAACCUGGGAUCUGGCCCCUCCUCUGAGUCAGAACGGGAGACUGCGCUCCGUGCAUCGGUAGAAAUUUACUUUCUACGCUGCUUUGCGGUGUUCGGGAUUUGUGUUGGCUGGGAGCAUAAAUCAUUUUUCAAAACGAAUUUUAGUGGAAAUGUUAUUCUUUCCAAUUAAUUAGGGUUUGGAGGCUGAUGUUAUUUGCGCUCAACAAAAAUAUCCAGUCUGCUCAUGAACUAAAAAUGGUUUAAAACUACGGAAGAAGGUGUCUUCCAGCUGAAGGUGUAUUUGGG
RNAcentral lists this long non-coding RNA (709 nucleotides) under Chinchilla lanigera (long-tailed chinchilla). RNAcentral's name for it is "lncRNA (ENSCLAG00000023097.1)". Lineage: Eukaryota; Metazoa; Chordata; Mammalia; Rodentia; Chinchillidae. The record is from RNAcentral.